RNAcentral lists this ribosomal RNA (479 nucleotides) under uncultured bacterium. RNAcentral describes it as "bacterial SSU rRNA". It matches the Rfam family "Bacterial small subunit ribosomal RNA", at positions 30 to 504 of the family's 1533-position model. The record is from RNAcentral.
CGAACGUUAGCGGCGCGCUUAACACAUGCAAGUCGAACGAGAAAGCACCUUCGGGUGUGAGUAAAGUGGCGCACGGGUGAGUAUCACGUGGGUAUCUAUCUUCCGGCGGGGGACAACAUCCCGAAAGGGGUGCUAAUACCGCAUACGUCCGCUUCGGCGGGGAAAGGUGGCUUCGGCUAUCACCGGAUGAUGAGCUCGCGCCCCAUCAGCUUGUUGGUAGGGUAAUGGCCUACCAAGGCUACGACGGGUAGCUGGUCUGAGAGGAUGAUCAGCCACACUGGAACUGAGACACGGUCCAGACUCCUACGGGAGGCAGCAGUGGGGAAUAUUGCGCAAUGGGCGAAAGCCUGACGCAGCGACGCCGCGUGGGUGAUGAAGGUUUUCGGAUCGUAAAGCCCUGUGGGAGAGGGACGAACAACCCGCGAGAAUAAUACCUCGUGGGCCUGACGGUACCUCUCCAGAAAGCACCGGCUAACUCC